Balaenoptera acutorostrata (minke whale) is the source of this 704-nucleotide long non-coding RNA. RefSeq lists it as uncharacterized. The record is from RefSeq and is a predicted model, not a curated record. Lineage: Eukaryota; Metazoa; Chordata; Mammalia; Artiodactyla; Balaenopteridae. The transcript is spliced from 3 exons.
UGUAGAUGUUGGUUCCUUUAAUCCUUUCCCAGCAGCACCGUGAGUUCUUCAAACAGCUGUGUGAGCUGCUGGGUGAUGGACAGACAGUCAUCCUGUUGCUCUGAGACUUCAGUUUUCCAAGUAGAAUCACUUCCCUCAAGCUCACUCCGGAGGAUAGAGCCCAGAGUCCUGGGGAAGGAUCUUUUGCCCCUUGAAUCCUGGCACCUACCCCUCCACAAUGCAGAGAAAGGGUAGGAGUCACCAUUCUCUGUGGGGCUGGGAAUCUGGAGCUCAAAGCUGGAAUCCUGGCACAGUCCUGCACGGGCUGUGUGACCUCGUGGUACUUAUGCUCUAGUGAGAAGAUAAGACACAGACCUGGGAGACUCUCGAUCAAGGUCUUUUCUUCUGACUCUACACUUGCCUCCAUCUCGUGGAUCUGGCUUCCUCAAGACCUGACGUUUUCUCCAUAAUCUCCCACCAGCCCGCUCAGUGCCCCACUCACCUGAGUCUCCUCCAUCACCAGGUCUGUACCCUGCUUCUCCCUCUGGAUGCCCUAAUGUCUCAAGGCCAGGGAAACAAGAGCAAGGUCCAUCCUCCUCUAUGUGGCUGGCCCUGUCCCUAAAGAUAAGGAAGAGGAGAUGCAGAACAGGCUUCUUUAUCUCUGCUAAGUUGUUAUCCCUUUUCCCAGAUUGACUCUGAUGAUUUACCUCCCAGCUUCUGUGAAC